AUUGAACGCUGGCGGCAUGCUUUACACAUGCAAGUCGGACGGCAGCACAGAGAAGCUUGCUUCUUGGGUGGCGAGUGGCGAACGGGUGAGUAACAUAUCGGAACGUACCGAGCAGUGGGGGAUAACUAAUCGAAAGAUUAGCUAAUACCGCAUAUCUUCUGAGGAAGAAAGCAGGGGACCAUUUGGCCUUGCGCUGUUUGAGCGGCCGAUAUCUGAUUAGCUAGUUGGUGGGGUAAAGGCCUACCAAGGCGACGAUCAGUAGCGGGUCUGAGAGGAUGAUCCGCCACACUGGGACUGAGACACGGCCCAGACUCCUACGGGAGGCAGCAGUGGGGAAUUUUGGACAAUGGGCGAAAGCCUGAUCCAGCCAUGCCGCGUGUCUGAAGAAGGCCUUCGGGUUGUAAAGGACUUUUGUCAGGGAAGAAAAGGGCGGGGUUAAUACCCCUGUCUGAUGACGGUACCUGAAGAAUAAGCACCGGCUAACUACGUGCCAGCAGCCGCGGUAAUACGUAGGGUGCGAGCGUUAAUCGGAAUUACUGGGCGUAAAGCGGGCGCAGACGGUUACUUAAGCAGGAUGUGAAAUCCCCGGGCUCAACCUGGGAACUGCGUUCUGAACUGGGUGACUAGAGUGUGUCAGAGGGAGGUAGAAUUCCACGUGUAGCAGUGAAAUGCGUAGAGAUGUGGAGGAAUACCGAUGGCGAAAGCAGCCUCCUGGGAUAACACUGACGUUCAUGCCCGAAAGCGUGGGUAGCAAACAGG
This 759-nucleotide ribosomal RNA is filed under the name uncultured Neisseria sp. RNAcentral describes it as "bacterial SSU rRNA". It matches the Rfam family "Bacterial small subunit ribosomal RNA", at positions 28 to 776 of the family's 1533-position model. The record is from RNAcentral. Lineage: Bacteria; Pseudomonadati; Pseudomonadota; Betaproteobacteria; Neisseriales; Neisseriaceae.